GAAUGGUCCAGAUCCCUCCACUACUUGGAAAAUAACAGUGCUAUUGGCUUCAAAAUUUGUAGAAUGCACUGCAAAUCCACAUUUCCUUUAAGAGUUAGCCAACGAGGUUAGACUUCGUGUGUGAAAUCAUCUGGGAGCAGACUUUCUCAACACAGGUCACAGUGUCCAUCAGCUUUGCUUCUUUGGAAGGCCAAGUAUUAAGAAGAUAAAUAGAUACGGUCACUGGCAUGGAAGAUGGAAGAGACAUAACUGCAGAGGAAAAGGUCCCACAGAUUCAUAGCAUAGGAUGUCAGCAGAGACUAGUAUAACUAGUUUGGUUCAACUGACACAGCCUACCAAUUUAUGGGACGUCCUGUGAGAAAGUAUUGACUCAGCAUUGCAUCUUGGAAACUUCUGCC
This 398-nucleotide long non-coding RNA is filed under the name Gallus gallus (chicken). The record is from RNAcentral. Lineage: Eukaryota; Metazoa; Chordata; Aves; Galliformes; Phasianidae.